This 119-nucleotide ribosomal RNA is filed under the name Cyanistes caeruleus (blue tit). The record is from RNAcentral. Lineage: Eukaryota; Metazoa; Chordata; Aves; Passeriformes; Paridae.
GCCUAUGGCCGUACCACCCUGAGAACACCUGAACCCGUCUGAUCUCGGAAGCUAAGCAGGGUCAGACCUGGUUAGUACUUAGAUGGGAAACUGCCUAGGAAUACCGGGUGCUAUAGGCU